UACGUAGGUGGCAAGCGUUAUCCGGAUUUAUUGGGUUUAAAGGGUGCGUAGGCGGCUUUUUAAGUCAGCGGUGAAAUUUUGCAGCUUAACUGUAACAGUGCCGUUGAUACUGGGGAGCUAGGAUUUGGUUGCUGUGGGUGGAAUGUGUGGUGUAGCGGUGAAAUGCUUAGAGAUCACACAGAAUAUCGAUUGCGAAGGCAGCUCACAAAGCCAAGAUUGACGCUGAGGCACGAAAGUGUGGGGAUCAAACAGGAUUAGA
This 259-nucleotide ribosomal RNA is filed under the name uncultured prokaryote. RNAcentral's name for it is "partial 16S ribosomal RNA". It matches the Rfam family "Bacterial small subunit ribosomal RNA", at positions 524 to 782 of the family's 1533-position model. The record is from RNAcentral.